AUAUCAGUUUGGGACAGAAAUUCAUUAUAGUCUCAUUUUUUACUUUACCUAUUUGGGCAUAAUCCAUAAACAUCUAGAAUCAUUUGCUCUUGAACAGUCACUUCUACAGAAGCAAUUAAAGCUAUAUGUAUGAUGGAAAAUGCCAGCCUCAGUCUCUUUUGCACACCUGAUCCUUCUCUGGAAAGUUAUGAUCACUGUAAUGCAGAUGUUUUCUCCGGAUUUCUCCAGUACCAAUAGAUCAGAAACAGCAAUUGGACUGGGAUGAAUUUUGAGAAAUAUAUUUCAGAAAUGCUGUGUCCCUUCUGUCCAAUCUUGCCCCUCGUCUGUGAGCUUGUUUGCUGGGCAUUGGGACAUAAAAAGGCAAACCUUUGGGAAAAGUGGAGAGACGGAUCAAGGACACCAGUGAUUCGAGUCUUAAAUGUGCCUGAAGCGCAAAUAGCAACCUCUGACAGAGCCUGAAGAAAUUUCUGUGGCGGUUCCCACGAGUUAACCAAAUAAUCAGAAAUUGUGAUGAAAGAGAAGCAGGCUUCAAAACAGAUAAUGAAUUUCUUCUAACUUGUCUGGAAACUGAAGAGCUAUAAUUCUGACUGAUCAGAUAUGGUCCGCCUCAGAGAGACACCAGAUGUGAUCCAGAUUUUAAAUAGAUGCUGCGACUGUCAAAAUGUAUUCACUCCCUUCUGUUAUAACAAAGUGAAGUCCAUCUGUCUGGAGCUGUGUACUUUUUUUGGUGGAAAGCCUUCCCUUGGCUUUAGUCUGGGUUCAGUGCCACGUCCCCGGUGUUUGCCCUUAAGAAGCAGCCAGUAA
Molecule: long non-coding RNA, 804 nt
Filed under: Struthio camelus australis
Lineage: Eukaryota; Metazoa; Chordata; Aves; Struthioniformes; Struthionidae
Description: lncRNA (ENSSCUG00000015475.1)
Source: RNAcentral